GACGAACGCUGGCGGCGUGCUUAACACAUGCAAGUCGAACGAUGAAGCCGGAGCUUGCUCUGGUGAAUUAGUGGCGAACGGGUGAGUAACACGUGAGUAACCUGCCCUUGACUCUGGGAUAACUGCUAGAAAUGGUGGCUAAUACCGGAUACGACCCUCGGAGGCAUCUCCAGGGGGUGGAAAGAAUUUCGGUCAAGGAUGGACUCGCGGCCUAUCAGCUAGUUGGUGAGGUAACGGCUCACCAAGGCGACGACGGGUCGCCGGCCUGAGAGGGUGACCGACCACACUGGGACUGGGACACGGCCCAGACUCCUACGGUAGGCAGCAGUGGGGAAUAUUGCACAAGGGGCGCAAGCCUGAUGCAGCAACGCCGCGUGAGGGAUGACGGCCUUCGGGUUGUAAACCUCUUUUAGUAGGGAAGAAGCGAAAGUGACGGUACCUGCAGAAAAAGCACCGGCUAACUACGUGCCAGCCGCCGCGGUAA
Molecule: ribosomal RNA, 484 nt
Filed under: uncultured bacterium
Lineage: Bacteria
Description: partial 16S ribosomal RNA
Rfam family: Bacterial small subunit ribosomal RNA
Source: RNAcentral